Molecule: ribosomal RNA, 417 nt
Filed under: uncultured bacterium
Lineage: Bacteria
Description: bacterial SSU rRNA
Rfam family: Bacterial small subunit ribosomal RNA
Source: RNAcentral
GGAAUAUUGGUCAAUGGACGCAAGUCUGAACCAGCCAUGCCGCGUGAAGGAUGAAGGCGUUCUGCGUUGUAAACUUCUUUUAUCUGGGAAGAAACCACAGAUUUCUAUUUGUGUUGACGGUACCAGAGGAAUAAGCACCGGCUAACUCCGUGCCAGCAGCCGCGGUACUACGGAGGGUGCAAGCGUUAUCCGGAUUUACUGGGUUUAAAGGGUGUGUAGGCGGGCCUUUAAGUCUGGGGUGAAAUCUCCGAGCUCAACUCGGAAACUGCCCUGGAUACUAUUGGCCUUGAAUUAUGUUGAGGUUGGCGGAAUAUAACAUGUAGCGGUGAAAUGCAUAGAUAUGUUAUAGAACACCGAUUGCGAAGGCAGCUAACUAAGCAUAUAUUGACGCUGAGGCACGAAAGCGUGGGGAUCAAA